This 695-nucleotide ribosomal RNA is filed under the name Escherichia coli. RNAcentral describes it as "partial 23S ribosomal RNA". It matches the Rfam family "Bacterial large subunit ribosomal RNA", at positions 612 to 1307 of the family's 2925-position model. The record is from RNAcentral. Lineage: Bacteria; Pseudomonadati; Pseudomonadota; Gammaproteobacteria; Enterobacterales; Enterobacteriaceae.
AUAAUGGGUCAGCGACUUAUAUUCUGUAGCAAGGUUAACCGAAUAGGGGAGCCGAAGGGAAACCGAGUCUUAACUGGGCGUUAAGUUGCAGGGUAUAGACCCGAAACCCGGUGAUCUAGCCAUGGGCAGGUUGAAGGUUGGGUAACACUAACUGGAGGACCGAACCGACUAAUGUUGAAAAAUUAGCGGAUGACUUGUGGCUGGGGGUGAAAGGCCAAUCAAACCGGGAGAUAGCUGGUUCUCCCCGAAAGCUAUUUAGGUAGCGCCUCGUGAAUUCAUCUCCGGGGGUAGAGCACUGUUUCGGCAAGGGGGUCAUCCCGACUUACCAACCCGAUGCAAACUGCGAAUACCGGAGAAUGUUAUCACGGGAGACACACGGCGGGUGCUAACGUCCGUCGUGAAGAGGGAAACAACCCAGACCGCCAGCUAAGGUCCCAAAGUCAUGGUUAAGUGGGAAACGAUGUGGGAAGGCCCAGACAGCCAGGAUGUUGGCUUAGAAGCAGCCAUCAUUUAAAGAAAGCGUAAUAGCUCACUGGUCGAGUCGGCCUGCGCGGAAGAUGUAACGGGGCUAAACCAUGCACCGAAGCUGCGGCAGCGACACUGUGUGUUGUUGGGUAGGGGAGCGUUCUGUAAGCCUGCGAAGGUGUGCUGUGAGGCAUGCUGGAGGUAUCAGAAGUGCGAAUGCUGACAUAAGU